Molecule: ribosomal RNA, 253 nt
Filed under: uncultured bacterium
Lineage: Bacteria
Description: partial 16S ribosomal RNA
Rfam family: Bacterial small subunit ribosomal RNA
Source: RNAcentral
UACGUAGGGUGCGAGCGUUAAUCGGAAUUACUGGGCGUAAAGCGUGCGCAGGCGGUUUUGUAAGCAGGAUGUGAAAUCCCCGGGCUUAACCUGGGAAUGGCAUUCGGGACUGCAAGGCUGGAGUGCGGCAGAGGAGACUGGAAUUCCUGGUGUAGCAGUGAAAUGCGUAGAUAUCAGGAGGAACACCGAUGGCGAAGGCAGGUCUCUGGGCUGACACUGACGCUCAUGCACGAAAGCGUGGGGAGCAAACAGG